RNAcentral lists this ribosomal RNA (539 nucleotides) under Entamoeba sp. RNAcentral's name for it is "bacterial SSU rRNA". It matches the Rfam family "Eukaryotic small subunit ribosomal RNA", at positions 52 to 592 of the family's 1831-position model. The record is from RNAcentral. Lineage: Eukaryota; Evosea; Mastigamoebida; Endamoebidae.
UGCAUGUGAAAGUAUAAAGUCCAAGAAGGAUGAAACUGCGAACGGCUCAUUAGAACAGUUAUAGUUUCUUCGAUUAGUAAGUACAAGGAUAGCUUUGUGAAUGAUAAAGAUAAUACUUGAGACGAUCUUGGAUGUAGAGACACAUUCAGGCCUUUGCAUCAUAAAAUGGUGUGAAGAGAAAGGAUAUCCAAACUGAAAGUGGGUAUCAUGACAAUUGUAGAAUAGCGAUAUUUAACAAGUAAUCGAUGAGAAUAUCUGAUCUAUCAACUAGUUGGUAGUAUCGAGGACUACCAAGGUUAUAACGGAUAACGAGGAAUUAGGGUUUGACAUCGGAGAGGGAGCUUUCAAGAUGGCUACCACUUCCAAGGAAGGCAGCAGCCGCGUAAAUUACCCAAUUUCAACAGAUAGAAGAGGUAGUGACGACAAAUAACUCACGACAUGCGUAAGCAUGUCUUGAAGGAAUGAGUAAGAAGCAAAGAGUCUUACGAAAUCAAUUGGAGGGCAAGUCUGGUGCCAGCAGCCGCGGUAAUUCCAGCUCC